Molecule: ribosomal RNA, 131 nt
Filed under: Deltaproteobacteria bacterium
Lineage: Bacteria; Pseudomonadati; Myxococcota; Myxococcia
Description: partial 16S ribosomal RNA
Rfam family: Bacterial small subunit ribosomal RNA (bases 21-131)
Source: RNAcentral
GAAAAGGAUCAUUUCGAUUUUAACUGGAGAGUUUGAUCCUGGCUCAGAACGAACGCUGGCGGCGUGCCUAACACAUGCAAGUCGCACGAGAAAUCCUGGGCAACUGGGAGAGUAAAGUGGCGCACGGGUGA